This 25-nucleotide transfer RNA is filed under the name Rattus exulans (Polynesian rat). RNAcentral describes it as "partial tRNA-Gly". Lineage: Eukaryota; Metazoa; Chordata; Mammalia; Rodentia; Muridae. The record is from RNAcentral.
UUCUGAAAAAAUUCAGAAGGGAAUA